GCCUGACGUAAAGUCGGGGCGGGCUCGCCGCCCCGAGACUCCUGAAAAAACGGCGCCGCGCUGGGGAGAGUGACUGUCAGCGACCCUGGAACUAGCGGGCCCGGGCAGGGGGAGGUGCCACUGCAAGGAUCGAAAUAAAAAGGAGGUACAAAAAGAGAGCCUGUCAUGACCAAGAAAUGUAGAAAAUGUGAUCUUUGGACAAUGCCAUAGGAGUUCUAGGGAUCAAACAUGCCAGGUGGCUGCACACAUGUCAGGAAAGCACUCUACCAUUGAGCCACCCCCCCACCCCACCCCGGUUCCAAAACUGACAUCUUAAUCUUGUUAAGAUAAUGUAAGGAAGUACUCUAAAAGAUUAUGAAAUUGACUGUAAUUAUCAGCAUCAGUCCUUAGGAUAAAUUUUCUAAAUAAAGACUUGGGUU
Nannospalax galili (Upper Galilee mountains blind mole rat) is the source of this 419-nucleotide long non-coding RNA. RefSeq lists it as uncharacterized. Lineage: Eukaryota; Metazoa; Chordata; Mammalia; Rodentia; Spalacidae. The record is from RefSeq and is a predicted model, not a curated record. The transcript has 3 exons.